AUGGCCCCGAUUCCCAGCUCGUGUGGCGCGCUGCUUCUGCUCGUGCUCGCGCUCGUGGCCGCCGCUGUCGUUGUCGACGCCACGGCGCCCUCCCUGGCCCUGGCCGCCAGGCACGAGCGGUGGAUGGCCAAGUUCGGGCGCGCCUACACGGACGCCGACGAGAAAUCGCGCCGGCGGGAGGUGUUCGCGGCCAACGUGCAGCACGUCGACGCUGUCAACCGGGCGGGCAACUUGACGUACACGCUCGGGCUCAACCAGUUCUCCGACCUCACCGACGACGAGUUCCUGAAGACACACCUCGGGUACCGUCACCAGCUUCAUCCUGGGGGCAACACGACGCUGGCAGCGGUGAACGUGUCCAAGGCUGCCGCUAUGAGGAGUGGCCAGUUUCAGUACAUGCCGGACAACAUGGACUGGAGGGCCCAGGGCGCCGUCACCCAAGUCAAGAACCAACGCUUCUGCGGAAGUUGCUGGGCGUUCGCGGCGGUGGCGGCGACGGAGGGGCUGGUAAAGAUUAGCACCGGUAACCUCAUCUCCAUGUCGGAGCAACAAGUCCUCGACUGCACGGGCGGCGCCAACACCUGCAGCGGCGGGGACAUCAACGCCGCACUCCGCUAUGUGGCCGCCAGCGGUGGCCUACAGCCGGAGGCGGCGUACGCGUAUAGCGGCCAGCAGGGCGCGUGCCGCAGCGGCGGCGGCAGGCCAAACUCGGCCGCCUCUGUCGGCGCCCCACGGUGGGCGCGCCUAUAUGGCGACGAGGGCGCGUUGCAGUGGCUCGCGGCCAGCCAGCCAGUGGCCGUGGCCUUGGAGGCCACGGACCCAGACUUCCGGCACUACAGGAGCGGCGUGUACGCCGGCAGCUCGUCAUGCGGGCAGAGGCUCAACCACGCUGUGACGGUGGUCGGAUACGGGGCGGACGGCGGCGGGCAGGAGUACUGGGUGUUGAAGAACCAGCGGGGAACGGGGUGGGGCGAGAGGGGCUACAUGCGCAUCGCGCGCGGGAACGGCGCCAACUGCGGCAUCGCAACCUACGCCUACUAUCCGACCAUGGACAGCUAG
Molecule: ribosomal RNA, 1059 nt
Filed under: Triticum aestivum (bread wheat)
Lineage: Eukaryota; Viridiplantae; Streptophyta; Magnoliopsida; Poales; Poaceae
Description: partial small subunit ribosomal RNA
Source: RNAcentral